UGUCUCCUCCGUCCCUCCUCGGGUUCGGAUUUAGCCCGCUGCCGCAAGGCCAGCGGGCUUUUUCUU
This 66-nucleotide non-coding RNA is filed under the name Collimonas fungivorans Ter331. RNAcentral's name for it is "Betaproteobacteria toxic small RNA". It matches the Rfam family "Betaproteobacteria toxic small RNA". Rfam says of the family: Overexpression in amino aid rich medium attenuates growth, suggesting role in repressing amino acid intake and metabolism. The record is from Rfam by way of RNAcentral. Lineage: Bacteria; Pseudomonadati; Pseudomonadota; Betaproteobacteria; Burkholderiales; Oxalobacteraceae.